AUCUCUGACUUUAAGAGGUUUGGAGAGUGGUUUAGUUGGAAGACUGCUGCUGUGCAGACACCUGCAAAACAUUGAACUUAAGCUGGCACAGCUGGAGGGAGGGAUAGCUGAGACUGAUGGGUGAUUGCACUGCUGUGCUCCAGUGCCCUCUGUCUCCCGCAGGAAUGAGAGUCUCUUGCUAGUGGAAAGUAGAUGCCUGAAUAUUUGGAUGGAUCUGGACUUCGGUUUUGAGAACUUGAUAGCUCUAAUGACCAGGAAGGACUGGCUGGAGAGGCAUUGCUCUGAAGUGUAGCUGGGUUUAUCAGAAUCCCUUUGCCAUUCCUGAAGUAGGUGAAGAUUGUUACCUCUGCAGUUAUAAUGGUCGACUGCAGGAAACUCAGGAGCGUGAAGGAUUCAUUACUUGACAGAGCAAAUAAUAUAUUUUUUUUCACCAAACAAGUAAUAAAUGAUUCGGAGGAAGAAAGAUUUUUAAAUAUCAGUGGACUCUGUUCAUGGUCAUAUUGCAUCACGUGGAAGAAAAGACAAAAAUCAGUGAAGGAGUUUCAAGAACAUUCAGGUAAACAAGAACUUAAUGCGGGGAUACAACCAAGGAUAGUCCUUAACCAAGGCCAGACCUCAAAUUAAUGUUCCUGGAGAUAUAGAGAGGCUGUCAUGAUAUUUUAUUCCUUUCUGCUUCUGAUAGAAGAACAAGAAUUCUUCUUGAAGGACAGGGCAAUUUCUGUUGCAAAACACACUAUCCUGAGUAGCAGUAGUAAGACCUAAAUCCAUAGAUUUCUUCUUUGGUUUCAUAUAUUUGAUAGCUUCUAAUCCCUUAACAGUGCUUGCUUUGUGUGAUUUGGUUUUUAAUUGCAUUUCUCUGAAUUAG
Molecule: long non-coding RNA, 865 nt
Organism: Cyanistes caeruleus (blue tit)
Lineage: Eukaryota; Metazoa; Chordata; Aves; Passeriformes; Paridae
Source: RefSeq, a predicted model, not a curated record